RNAcentral lists this long non-coding RNA (275 nucleotides) under Elaeis guineensis (African oil palm). Its description in RNAcentral is "long non-coding RNA (EGUI_LNC019807)". The record is from RNAcentral. Lineage: Eukaryota; Viridiplantae; Streptophyta; Magnoliopsida; Arecales; Arecaceae.
CAUAUAUUCUGGAGAUGUGAUGCAAAUAUAUAUAGAGUGCCAGGAGGAUGUAACUACUUGUGCCACUACCGAUGCCACUUAAGAAGCUACUCUAGCUAUUGCAGAAAUACCUCUAGUUACUGCAUCUUCUUCAGCUAUUACAGGGGUACCUUCACAAGAGGACAAUAAGAGUCAAUUCAUAGGUGUCCGAAUCACUACUGUAAAGGUAUCCACUAUCAAGGAUGUAGCUGCAUCCACACCAAAGAUCUAAAAAAAAAGGUUGGUGGAAGAAAACC